GAUGAAGAACGUAGCGAAAUGCGAUAAGUAAUGUGAAUUGCAGAAUUCAGUGAAUCAUCGAAUCUUUGAACGCACCUUGCGCUCCUUGGUAUUCCGAGGAGCAUGCCUGUUUGAGUGUCAUUAAUAUAUCAACCUUCUCUUUUUUGAGUUGUUUGGAUGUGGGGGUUUGCUGGCCUCUUAAAUGAUUCAGCUCCCCUGAAAUGCAUUAGCAGAACAACCUGUUCAUUAGCGUGAUAAUUAUCUAUGCUAUUGAAUGUGAGGGCAGUUCAGCUUUCUAACCGUCCUUGACAAUUCAUCAUUAAUGUGACCUCAAAUCAGGUAGGACUACCCGCUGAACUUAAGCAUAUCAAUAAGCGGGAGGA
This 362-nucleotide unclassified non-coding RNA is filed under the name soil metagenome. Its description in RNAcentral is "partial contains 5.8S ribosomal RNA, internal transcribed spacer 2, and large subunit ribosomal RNA". The stretch from base 1 to 120 matches the Rfam family "5.8S ribosomal RNA", at positions 35 to 154 of the family's 154-position model. The record is from RNAcentral.